RNAcentral lists this ribosomal RNA (183 nucleotides) under uncultured bacterium. Its description in RNAcentral is "partial 16S ribosomal RNA". It matches the Rfam family "Bacterial small subunit ribosomal RNA", at positions 351 to 526 of the family's 1533-position model. The record is from RNAcentral.
GCAGUAGGGAAUUUUCGUCAAUGGGGGGAACCCUGAACGAGCAAUGCCGCGUGAGUGAAGAAGGUCUUCGGAUCGUAAAGCUCUGUUGUAAGAGAAAAACGACAUUCAUAGGGAAUGAUGAGUGAGUGAUGGUAUCUUACCAGAAAGUCACGGCUAACUACGUGCCAGCAGCCGCGGUAAUAC